GGUAUGAAUGGCUAAACGAGAAAUAGACUUUUUUUAUUAUAAAAAUCGAAUUUAAUUUUUUAGUGAAAAAGCUAAAAUGAUUCAGAAAGACGAGAAGACCCUAUAGAGUUUUAUGCUUCAUCGUUACUUUUCUUACUAGAUUUUUUCAGAUUAGUAACCUUAGAGCAUUUUGUUGGGGCGACAUUAAGAUAUAAAAAACUCUUUAUUUUUAAUAUUUUUAUGAAAAAUUAAUUUGAUCCUUUAAAAAAGAUCAAAAGAAAAAAUUACCUUAGGGAUAACAGCGUAAUCUUUUUUGAGAGUUCUAAUCGACAAAAAGGUUUGCGACCU
Molecule: ribosomal RNA, 327 nt
Filed under: Euacasta microforamina
Lineage: Eukaryota; Metazoa; Arthropoda; Thecostraca; Balanomorpha; Balanidae
Description: partial large subunit ribosomal RNA
Rfam family: Bacterial large subunit ribosomal RNA (bases 58-327)
Source: RNAcentral